AGCAGCUGUGGUAAUUCCAGCUCCAAUAGCGUAUAUUAAAGUUGUUGCAGUUAAAAAGCUCGUAGUUGAAUUUCGGGGUUAGUAGGUUGGUCGUGCCACUGGUAUGUACUGGUCUCACUGAUUCCUCCUUCCUGAUGAACCGUAAUGCCAUUAAUUUGGUAUUGCAGGGAGACUGGACUGUUACUUUGAAAAAUUAGAGUGUUUAAAGUAGGCUAACGCUUGAAUACAUUAGCAUGGAAUAACAGAAUAGAACGUUCGAUCUUAUUUUGUUGGUUUCUAAGAUUGAUGUAAUGAUUAAUAGGGAUAGUUGGGGUAUUAGUAUUCAAUUGUCAGAGGUGAAAUUCUUGGAUUUUAUUGAAGACUAACUACUGUGAAAGCAUUUGCCAAGGAUGUUUUCAUUAAUCAAGAACGAAAGUUAGGGGAUCGAAGACGAUCAGAUACCAUCGUAGUCUUAACCAUAAACUAUGCUGACUAGG
Molecule: small RNA, 476 nt
Filed under: uncultured Glomus
Lineage: Eukaryota; Fungi; Glomeromycota; Glomeromycetes; Glomerales; Glomeraceae
Description: SSU rRNA
Rfam family: Eukaryotic small subunit ribosomal RNA
Source: RNAcentral